UACGUAGGGUGCAAGCGUUGUCCGGAAUUAUUGGGCGUAAAGAGCUCGUAGGCGGCUCGUCGCGUCGGCUGUGAAAACUCGGGGCUCAACCCCGAGCCUGCAGUCGAUACGGGCAGGCUAGAGUCCGGCAGGGGAGACUGGAAUUCCUGGUGUAGCGGUGAAAUGCGCAGAUAUCAGGAGGAACACCGGUGGCGAAGGCGGGUCUCUGGGCCGGAACUGACGCUAAGGAGCGAAAGCGUGGGGAGCGAACAGG
RNAcentral lists this ribosomal RNA (253 nucleotides) under uncultured bacterium. RNAcentral describes it as "partial 16S ribosomal RNA". It matches the Rfam family "Bacterial small subunit ribosomal RNA", at positions 524 to 776 of the family's 1533-position model. The record is from RNAcentral.